UCCAGGUGGCUCAGUGGUAAAGAAUCUGCCUGCAAUGCAGAAGACCCAGGUUCGAUCCCUGGAUCAGGAA
Molecule: transfer RNA, 70 nt
Filed under: Bos taurus (domestic cattle)
Lineage: Eukaryota; Metazoa; Chordata; Mammalia; Artiodactyla; Bovidae
Also listed under: 5 other names
Rfam family: tRNA
About the family: Transfer RNA (tRNA) molecules are approximately 80 nucleotides in length.
Source: Rfam by way of RNAcentral